AGCAGGGCUAAUAGCUUUCAAAAAUUUCAACAACCACCCUGGUUGCAUGGCAUUAGAAGAAGAAACAAAUAAAGCUAUCUUUCUAUAAUCAAGAAUCCCUUCAAAAGGGAGCUCCAAUUCAUCACUACACUAAUUAUUACAGGGAUGCACCCACUGACAAUAGCAUCAAAUAAUCUGGCGGAUGAUGGAGUGUCACCAGCUGGAUUUAAGCAAAAGAUGGACUUGCGCAUGCCAAUCUGGGC
Molecule: unclassified non-coding RNA, 242 nt
Filed under: Hevea brasiliensis (rubber tree)
Lineage: Eukaryota; Viridiplantae; Streptophyta; Magnoliopsida; Malpighiales; Euphorbiaceae
Source: RNAcentral